GUCAAGACGAUCAGCUGAAGUUCAAACCAAGCAUCAGAAUGGGGAAGAAAGGUGAUUUAAGUGACUUUGAACGUGGCAUAGUUGUUGGUGCCAGACGGGAGUAUUGCAGAAACUGCUGAUCUACUGGGAUUUUCAUGCACAACCAUCUCUAGGGUUUACAGAGAAAGUCGAGGUGCACGGAAGAGCAUCUCUGAAUGCACAACACAUCGAACCUCGAAACAGAUGGGCCACAGCAGCAGAAGACCACACUGGGCGCCACUCCUGUCAGCUAAGAACAGGAAACUGAGGCUGCAACUGGCACAGGCUCACCAAAGUUGGAUAAUAGAAGAUUAGAAAAACGUU
This is a long non-coding RNA of Thunnus maccoyii (southern bluefin tuna), 342 nucleotides long. RefSeq lists it as uncharacterized. NCBI's taxonomy places the organism in Eukaryota, Metazoa, Chordata, Actinopteri, Scombriformes, Scombridae. The record is from RefSeq and is a predicted model, not a curated record. The transcript is spliced from 2 exons.